GGAACACUGGACAGCCACAUGUAAAAGAAUGAAAUUUGGCCAUUCUUUUUCACCAUUCACAAAAAUAAACUCAAAAUGGAUCAGACACCUAAAGGACUGCCAGUGCUCAAAACUGUGUUGGUACUCCUCCUUUGAAGAUGGAUGAACACACUGAAUAACCAUCUUUUUGUCUUGUCUUUUUGCAAGAGAAACUUGAAGUGUGAGACUGUUUUUCUUGGAUGGGCCAAAAAAGGUCUUCCUUUUUCACCUUCCCCUUCUCACCUACCGCCUACCUUGGUUUCCAAGAAGACUGCUCUGGACAGUGACUCUCACUUGGAUGUUUAAUUUCUGUGUGUCCUUGGAAAAAGGCGCCAGCCUUCCCCUUACUAGGUAAAGACGUCUUAUCUAGAAGCAGAGGGGUCAUAACCUUACCUGAUGUCCUGUUCAGUUGUCUUGUUCUCCUUCAAAUUGCCCUCCCC
RNAcentral lists this long non-coding RNA (458 nucleotides) under Equus caballus (horse). RNAcentral describes it as "lncRNA (ENSECAG00000055757.1)". The record is from RNAcentral. Lineage: Eukaryota; Metazoa; Chordata; Mammalia; Perissodactyla; Equidae.